GCUAGGCGUGGUGGUGCACGCCUAUAAUCCUAGCAGCUCAGGAGGCUGAGGCAGGAGGAUCAUGAGUUCAAAGCCAGCCUCAGCAACAGCAAGGGUGCUAAGAACUCAGUGAGACUCUGUCUCUA
This 125-nucleotide small RNA is filed under the name Marmota monax (woodchuck). Lineage: Eukaryota; Metazoa; Chordata; Mammalia; Rodentia; Sciuridae. The record is from RNAcentral.